GACCACCCGCACACCACCUCGACCUUGGGGAGGUCUUCUUCCCCAGCACCGACCACCGAUCCGCCGCCAUCUUCCCCGAUCAGCACGACGCCGUUACUCCACCUCCACCUUCAAAACUCCACCAGUAGCCUCUAAACACAUCCAAUAGUCGAUCCCAUGCUUCAAUUUGACACAAGGAGCCCUUCCGGCGAGUCCCACAACCACCCGACGCAGCUGUCCGCUGGAGACGACCUCCACGUUGUUCUGGUGCUCGCUGGCGACCACCACCACCCACAGACACGGGGUGCCACCCCGAACACAUCUGACCAUCGCCGCCUCUUGAAACGCCGGCGAUCGCCGCUGGUGACCACCGCAUCCCCUCUGUAUACGCACGCGGAGAGCGCGUUUGAAUUUCAAACCUGACGGGUGGGGCCCACCCGUCAGUAUUAUGUUCUUUUCUGUUAUUUUCAAAAGCGUCUUGUGACUCUUUACGCUUUCUUCUCCAGGAAGCGUAUUCCUAUCCGAGGCGCUUUCAGUUAUUACCUCAAGGACCCGCUGGCAGUUACUUUAUUUAUAGAGAGAAAACGAAGAGGGGGACUAUACCGGGAGUUUUGAAGAACCUCUUGCUGAUUACUUUGGUCAAGGCAAGCAUUAUUGGACUUGGGUUAUAAUGAAUUGUCUGCAUGGUUGCAUCGGAGUAGUUUUGCACCAUAUAGUAGUAGUAGUAGUAGUAGUAGUAGUAGUAGUAGUAGUAGUAGUAGUAGUAGAAGCAUGCAUUGGUCAUGUCAAUUUGAGCACUAUUGCGCGAACACUGUUGCAUGUCAUGUGAGCACUAUUGCAUUCAUCAGGUAUUUUGCUAACAUGUGAUUAUGGUAAGGAUCUAGGGGUGUCCUGCCUUGGACGUGCCGAUGGGAACGGACAGUGUUAUGACACGACGGUGUCAUUGUGGCAUGAGAGAUAUGCCAGUCUUAAUAACACACUACAAAAAAAAGACACAUACGUGA
Aegilops tauschii subsp. strangulata is the source of this 983-nucleotide long non-coding RNA. RefSeq lists it as uncharacterized. Lineage: Eukaryota; Viridiplantae; Streptophyta; Magnoliopsida; Poales; Poaceae. The record is from RefSeq and is a predicted model, not a curated record.